AGAGUUUGAUCCUGGCUCAGGAUGAACGCUAGCGGCAGGCCUAACACAUGCAAGUCGAGGGGCAGCAGACCACUUCGGUGGUGCUGGCGACCGGCGCACGGAUGAGUAUCGCGUUUGUAACCUACCCUUAACUGGGGGAUAGCCCGAAGAAAUUCGGAUUAAUACCCCAUUAAAUUUUAGCACGGCAUCGUGCUUCCAUUAAAGCUCCGGCGGUUAAGGAUGGACAUGCGUGACAUUAGUUUGUUGGUGAGGUAACGGCUCACCAAGACUACGAUGUCUAGGGGGUCUGAGAGGAUGAUCCCCCACACUGGUACUGAGACACGGACCAGACUCCUACGGGAGGCAGCAGUGAGGAAUAUUGGGCAAUGGACGCAAGUCUGACCCAGCCAUGCCGAGUGCAGGAUGACGGCGCUAUGCGUUGUAAACUGCUUUUAUACAGGAAGAAAUCCUCCUACGUGUAGGGGGUUGACUGUACUGUAAGAAUAAGCAUCGGCUAACUCCGUGCCAGCAGCCGCGGUAAU
This 521-nucleotide ribosomal RNA is filed under the name uncultured bacterium. RNAcentral's name for it is "bacterial SSU rRNA". It matches the Rfam family "Bacterial small subunit ribosomal RNA", at positions 8 to 524 of the family's 1533-position model. The record is from RNAcentral.